AACGAACGCUGGCGGCAGGCCUAACACAUGCAAGUCGAGCGCGCCUUCGGGUGAGCGGCGGACGGGUUAGUAACGCGUGGGAACGUGCCCUUCUCUACGGAAUAGCCUCUGGAAACGGAGAGUAAUACCGUAUACGCCCUUUGGGGGAAAGAUUUAUCGGAGAAGGAUCGGCCCGCGUUAGAUUAGGUAGUUGGUGGGGUAACGGCCUACCAAGCCUACGAUCUAUAGCUGGUUUUAGAGGAUGAUCAGCAACACUGGGACUGAGACACGGCCCAGACUCCUACGGGAGGCAGCAGUGGGGAAUCUUAGACAAUGGGGGCAACCCUGAUCUAGCCAUGCCGCGUGAGUGAUGAAGGCCUUAGGGUCGUAAAGCUCUUUCGCCAGAGAUGAUAAUGACAGUAUCUGGUAAAGAAACCCCGGCUAACUCCGUG
RNAcentral lists this ribosomal RNA (431 nucleotides) under uncultured bacterium. Its description in RNAcentral is "bacterial SSU rRNA". It matches the Rfam family "Bacterial small subunit ribosomal RNA", at positions 29 to 507 of the family's 1533-position model. The record is from RNAcentral.